UUUCUCUCCUGUGAGAGAGACACGUCAUUAAGUAGAGAUUUCUUGGCUUGACACGUGUUCAAUCUGUCACGAAUUUUGUACGUCAAUUGGUUUUUAGUGGGCUUUCUCAGUGAUCUUCUGUUAUUCUGUUUUGUAAAAGCUCCAGCCCGAAAGAAAGCUCCAGCCUUCUCCGCCAGAGACGAGAGCGAAAUUAGGGUUAGUCCUCUUCUUCCAUCUCCAGACCAACAAUGGAGAAUUAGCAUGCCCUUGAACACCAUCUUCAAGCAAGACAUGAUCUCAUUCAAUGAUACUCAUCCAUCUUCUAGGCGGUGUUUCUUUACCUAUAAAAGGGUAAGUCUUCUCCCCUUGAACACCAUCUUAACAGUCUGUGAUAAUUAAAAAAAAAAAAUUCCAGUAUCCCAUUCUUAAAAUCCCAUGAUCAUAUUAGAUUUCAAUUAUUUUUGGCGUUCAGAUUCGUAUAUAGAUCUUCAUUGAGCCUCUUUUGAAUGAGAUAUUUUAAGUCCGUUUGGUGAAUCCUUUCUUUUCACAUUUGUUGAUCCAAAAUUUACCGCAGAUGUACCGUUUAAUCAAUGAAAGAACAACGAGAUGAUUAGCCCAUGCAUUCACCAUGAAAUCUGUGGAGUUUUGGUUCUGCUUGCUGUUCUAACAUCAGGUAUAGGUGAUCUGAUUUGAUCUCAUUGGUAUUCUCUAUUUUCCACAAUCCUGUACCUUUGCAAUCAGUCAAUCUGAUCUCCUUUUCUUUAUGUUUGAAGAAAGAGAGUAAGUGCUUGAACGGAAGGAGUAAGAAUUGGAUGUACGAUCAUAACAAGCUGAGAAUAUAAAGAGAUCCAGGGAUGAAGUUGAGCUCUCAUUGCUGGCUGAGAAGGAUAGAGAUGACAAUCCUACUAGAAUUGGAUGUACGAUCAUAUCAUACUGUUUUAAUUUUUCCUUAAACCAUAAAAUCAUAUAUGGAAAUGGAACAAAAAAUUCCAGAGAUAAAACUGGGUGUGAAAUGUUUCCAAUAGAAAAACAUACUGCUCUCUUCUCUUUCCAAAAAGUUUUUUAUAAACAUAACUCAAAGCUUAACCGUCCAAUUUUUUUUUUUAUAAAAAACAUGAGGGUUAUGUUGAUAAAUUAGACCAAGCUUAUUAGCAGAUUUAGUUUAUCUGGUAACCAACUAAGAUUCAUAUCUAUACAAGUUUAUCAUGAUACACUCACACUCACUCAAUCUGCACAAUUUACAUCAUUUCAACAUAUACCCUACGUUAAAAGCUAAAUUAGACAGAAUUGUGGUUCAAUGAAAAUCUGAAACAAAGUAUAAAUGAGAGGAUAUGUUAAGAGGUCCGACAAUUGGUCCGGUUUGUUUCUGUUGGAAACAAGUUGUGGUUUAUAAUCUAAGCAAAAGCUAAUGUCUUACAAAUCUAUAGUCCAAACAAAAACUAUCCAUUUACAAAUGAUAGUUAGUACCAGUCCCAUAUUACUUCAAUAUAAUGACGCCAUCUAUUGAUUUAUUACAACUGAUGUGUCCAAACGGUAAAAUAAAACACUCACAUAAAGAUAUGAUUAAACUAAAACUAGACGUUACUUCAAUAAAGCUUUCAAUAACGUUACUUCAAUAAAGCUCUCAAUAAUGGUCAUUAUAAGUGAAAUUUACUGAAAUACAUAACGUAAAAAAUACUUAGAGAAACAAAAUAUAUACAUAAAAAUAAGUUAAAAAAUAUAAUAUAAUUAAAUCCAAAAACAUAAUGCUUAUUUUACAUUAAAUUCAACUGAAGAAAACUUACAAAAUAUUAAGGGAAACCACGAAAAAUACAUAAUAAGAAUAUAUAUUUUUUAAAAUAAUCUUAAAAUAACAAAAUAUAACAAAAAUGAAAAAGCCAAAAAAAAAAUAUUUUCAUGAUAAUACAAAGCAUAAGAAGUUUAUAUUUGCUACAAAUACAUAGAAACGUAACACAAAACAAUAUAACAAAUAACUAUAUAAAAACAAAAAUAAACAUAUGCGCUAAAAAAUAAAAGAGAACAAUACCACCAAAAUAAAUAGAACAUGGUUUCAUUAUAACAGUCUCAACAGUUACGUUGAAUUAUGAAAUUUAGUUUAUCAUAACGAGAUUGAAUUCAAUUAUCAUUUUUAAUCGAAAGUAUGGUCAAGAAUACUGAAUCACAUAAAAUAUAAAAUCAAACACUUUCAAAUAAAAUCUGAAGUUCAAUAAAAUACACAAAUUUUAUGCACUUAGCGCAACUAAUAUUGAAACCCUUUAAAUUCUUAAUAUAUAUUAACCCAACACUUCUUCUCCAAUUCAAACUUUUUUCUCAAAUCCAGUUCACCAGUAUUGUAUACUAUAAAUCAUCUUCGGAAGCAUACACAAUUAAAUCAUAUCACAAAUUCAGCCAUGUUUGGUUCGAAGGUGAGAUAUGGGAACAAAAGUAAAAAUAAUGAAUAAAGUGAAACACGAUCUAAACUUAUUUAAAUAUCGUAUCUUGGUUCUCUAUAUUGUUUUGUUCUAAGAGAAAAACAUCAGUUAUAUAUAUAAAUAUGUUUCUCUCCUGUGAGAGAGACACGUCAUUAAGUAGAGAUUUCUUGGCUUGACACGUGUUCAAUCUGUCACGAAUUUUGUACGUCAAUUGGUUUUUAGUGGGCUUUCUCAGUGAUCUUCUGUUAUUCUGUUUUGUAAAAGCUCCAGCCCGAAAGAAAGCUCCAGCCUUCUCCGCCAGAGACGAGAGCGAAAUUAGGGUUAGUCCUCUUCUUCCAUCUCCAGACCAACAAUGGAGAAUUAGCAUGCCCUUGAACACCAUCUUCAAGCAAGACAUGAUCUCAUUCAAUGAUACUCAUCCAUCUUCUAGGCGGUGUUUCUUUACCUAUAAAAGGGUAAGUCUUCUCCCCUUGAACACCAUCUUAACAGUCUGUGAUAAUUAAAAAAAAAAAAUUCCAGUAUCCCAUUCUUAAAAUCCCAUGAUCAUAUUAGAUUUCAAUUAUUUUUGGCGUUCAGAUUCGUAUAUAGAUCUUCAUUGAGCCUCUUUUGAAUGAGAUAUUUUAAGUCCGUUUGGUGAAUCCUUUCUUUUCACAUUUGUUGAUCCAAAAUUUACCGCAGAUGUACCGUUUAAUCAAUGAAAGAACAACGAGAUGAUUAGCCCAUGCAUUCACCAUGAAAUCUGUGGAGUUUUG
This 3142-nucleotide long non-coding RNA is filed under the name Brassica rapa (field mustard). RNAcentral's name for it is "long non-coding RNA (BRAP_LNC006724)". Lineage: Eukaryota; Viridiplantae; Streptophyta; Magnoliopsida; Brassicales; Brassicaceae. The record is from RNAcentral.